Molecule: non-coding RNA, 647 nt
Organism: Schizosaccharomyces pombe (fission yeast)
Lineage: Eukaryota; Fungi; Ascomycota; Schizosaccharomycetes; Schizosaccharomycetales; Schizosaccharomycetaceae
Source: the annotation of a GenBank genome assembly
GUGUCAACGCUUCGUCAGAUAAAACACUGGUGUUCCAGGAAUACUCUUUUACCCUACACCAUCGUUUCCAGGAGUCAUCCUUUAAAUACCAAGGCAAUCGAAAGUCAUAGGUGAAGUCAUUAAGAGUAAAGGAUUUUUUGGAAGUUAAGCACUCCGAAUCUAUUAAACACUUGUCUGUAUUCUCAAAAAGCAUGACGAAAGAAAGUAAUUUUCUUUCAAUUUCGUCGAAUGAACAAUUACCAAAAGCAGUUGUUAUUUUAAUUUGAGCUUUUCCAGAUAAUUCAAUAUACGCUUUGCAUCUUUCAGAAAGAAGAACAGCGUUCUUAUUUAUUAUAUUUGCAUAAUACUCAGUAACAUCAAUUGUUUUUGACUUCAAAUGUUUAAAUAUUCCACUAAUGAGCUCUUCAACAAUUGCGACAUCUCGUUUUUUAGCCUCGAUUUUAAUGUUAUUGUUUGUUACAUUAAUUACUACAUGCGCUGCAUGCUUUUGAGAGAUAUCUCUUAAUGCACUAGCAUUAUUCAACAGAAGGAAAAACAUCUCCAACGGACAAAGCGUCACGUCUUUUAUUGCGAGCAUAUCGUCCAUCGCAUCGCCAUGAAUUCGUAGCUUCCAAUGAUCAAGCAAAAUACGCUCGAUUAUCUCUUUU